UGGCUUUUGUAGGAUGAUCAUU
RNAcentral lists this microRNA (22 nucleotides) under Capitella teleta. Its description in RNAcentral is "cte-miR-2719". Lineage: Eukaryota; Metazoa; Annelida; Polychaeta; Capitellidae. The record is from miRBase by way of RNAcentral.